GUAACAAGGUCUCCGUUGGUGAACCAGCGGAGGGAUCAUUACCGAGUUUACAACUCCCAAACCCCUGUGAACAUACCUAUUGUUGCCUCGGCGGAUCAGCCCGGCCCCGGUAAAACGGGACGGCCCGCCAGAGGACCCUAAACUCUGUUUUUAGUGUAACUUCUGAGUAAAACAAACAAAUAAAUCAAAACUUUCAACAACGGAUCUCUUGGUUCUGGCAUCGAUGAAGAACGCAGCAAAAUGCGAUAAGUAAUGUGAAUUGCAGAAUUCAGUGAAUCAUCGAAUCUUUGAACGCACAUUGCGCCCGCCAGUAUUCUGGCGGGCAUGCCUGUUCGAGCGUCAUUUCAACCCUCAAGCACAGCUUGGUGUUGGGAUUUGCGGAGUAAUUCGCAGUCCCCAAAUCUAUUGGCGGUCACGUCGAGCUUCCAUAGCGUAGUAAUUACACCUCGUUACUGGUAAUCGUCGCGGCCACGCCGUUAAACCCCAACUUCUGAAUGUUGACCUCGGAUCAGGUAGGAAUACCCGCUGAACUUAAGCAUAUCAAUA
Molecule: ribosomal RNA, 546 nt
Filed under: fungal sp. 143C1T
Lineage: Eukaryota; Fungi
Description: eukaryotic LSU rRNA
Rfam family: 5.8S ribosomal RNA (bases 189-342)
Source: RNAcentral